RNAcentral lists this transfer RNA (69 nucleotides) under Ictidomys tridecemlineatus (thirteen-lined ground squirrel). RNAcentral's name for it is "Spermophilus tridecemlineatus (thirteen-lined ground squirrel) tRNA". It matches the Rfam family "tRNA". Rfam says of the family: Transfer RNA (tRNA) molecules are approximately 80 nucleotides in length. Lineage: Eukaryota; Metazoa; Chordata; Mammalia; Rodentia; Sciuridae. The record is from Rfam by way of RNAcentral.
GGGGCUGUAGCUUAGUGGUAGAGUGCUUGCCUUGCACAUAUGAGGCACUGGGUUCAACCCUCAGCACCA